CCUACGGGGAGCAGCAGUGGGGAAUAUUGCACAAUGGGGGAACCCCUGAUGCAGCGACUCCGCGUGAGUGAAGAAGUAAUUCGGUAUGUCAAGCUCUAUCAGCAGGGAAGAAAAUGACGGUACCUGAGUCAGAAGCCCCGGCUAACUACGUGCCACGAGCCGCGGUAAUACGUAGGGGGCCGGCGUGAUCCGGAUUUACUGGGUGUAAAGGGAGCGUAGACGGCAGUGCAAGUCUGGAGGGAAAGGCGGGGGCUCAACCCCCGGACUUCUGUGGAAACUGUACGGCUGGAGUGCAGGAGAGGUAAGUGGAAUUCCUAGGGUAGCGGGGAAAUGCGUAGAUAUUAGGAGGAACACCAGUGGCGAAGGCGGCUUACUGGACUGUAACUGACGUUGAGGCUCGAAAGCGUGGGGAGCAAACAGGAUUAGAUACCCGAGUAGUC
Molecule: ribosomal RNA, 440 nt
Filed under: uncultured bacterium
Lineage: Bacteria
Description: partial 16S ribosomal RNA
Rfam family: Bacterial small subunit ribosomal RNA
Source: RNAcentral